CCUACGGGCGGCAGCAGUGAGGAAUAUUGGUCAAUGGGCUUACGCCUGAACCAGCCAAGUCGCGUGAGGGAAGACUGCCCUAUGGAUUGUAAACCUCUUUUGUCAGGGAGCAAUUGGCGCUACGUGUAGCGGUAUGGAGAGUACCUGAAGAAAAAGCAUCGGCUAACUCCGUGCCAGCAGCCGCGGUAAUACGGGGGAUGCGAGCGUUAUCCGGAUUUCUUGGGUUUAAAGGGUGCGUAGGCGGAAUGCAAAGUCAGCGGUAAAAUAUCGGGGCUCAACAUCGCUCUGCCGUUGAAACUGGUGUUCUUGAGUGGGCGAGAAGUAUGCGGAAUGCGUGGUGUAGCGGUGAAAUGCAUAGAUAUCACGCAGAACUCCGAUUGCGAAGGCAGCAUACCGGCGCCCAACUGACGCUGAAGCACGAAAGCGUGGGUAUCGAACAGGAUUAGAUACCCCUGUAGUC
Molecule: ribosomal RNA, 460 nt
Filed under: uncultured bacterium
Lineage: Bacteria
Description: partial 16S ribosomal RNA
Rfam family: Bacterial small subunit ribosomal RNA
Source: RNAcentral